GGGUUCCGGUGGCAGCGCCGGGGUCUCAGACCCUGAGGAGACUGAGCCCAGCGCCAGGCGACCGGUCCCCGCCGCCGCCGCCCCUGCGCGGGAGAUCCCCCCUGCUUAGUCCGCGCCCGAGCCCCCGUCCGUGGGAACAGACAAGGGGCCUCCGCAGCGCCUCACAACCCCCGACCAGGUCCAGCGGCGGGGGACUCGGCCGUGGAGGGCGCUGUUCGGUCUGGAUGGCUCCCCCCAUCAGCGGGAGGCUACACCCCCCACCAGCAGGGGCAAGAGGAGCAGCGGGAUGGGAGCAGGCCAACGUCCUGCGGCCUGGUUGAGCUCGCACUGACAAUCGCAGGUUUCGGACACGGGGGUCGCUUUGGGGGGCCUGGGGGCGCGGGGACCAGAGCUCGGGGCGGGGCAGUCCAGCCAGUUGGGCCCCAUGGGCUGGGGGGCGUCCGGCUCGGUCUUGAUGCUGUUCUUGGGGAAGCGCCAGUAGUGGGCGCCCUUGAAGAAGUAGGUGUCACCUGUGUGUGGGCGAGGCCGGGGGCUGGGGCGGAGGAGCCAGGGGUUUCCUUGUGGGCUUGUCAUAUGGGGUUUGGGGCGCCUUCCCUGUGAGGAAAGAGUCAGGCAGGUGUGCGUCCCCUGGCCCUGCUGCAGAGGACACUGGAUGGGGCAAUGAUGGUUUCGCGGCAGGUCCCUCUCCCCCUACCAUAGAGUUGCUGCAGGCCAUCGCGGUCAUCCUGAGACAGGCGGUACUUGUCAGGGUCGCCCACCGGACCCUGGUAGAAGGGCCUCAUAAUGGAGUUGGGGGCUGAGGAGUGGCCCAGGCCCAGGGCGUGGCCAAACUCAUGGACAGCCACGGCAAACAGGUCGGUCCCCUCGCCGUGCUGGAGUGCAGUGGCACGAUCUCGGCUCACUGCAACCUCUGCCUCCAGGAUUCAACUGAUUCUCCUGCCUCAGCCUCUCCAGUAGCUGGGAUUACAGGCUUGC
RNAcentral lists this long non-coding RNA (975 nucleotides) under Homo sapiens (human). RNAcentral describes it as "non-protein coding MMP25-AS1:7". The record is from RNAcentral. Lineage: Eukaryota; Metazoa; Chordata; Mammalia; Primates; Hominidae.